RNAcentral lists this ribosomal RNA (253 nucleotides) under uncultured bacterium. Its description in RNAcentral is "partial 16S ribosomal RNA". It matches the Rfam family "Bacterial small subunit ribosomal RNA", at positions 524 to 776 of the family's 1533-position model. The record is from RNAcentral.
UACGAAGGGUGCAAACGUUGCUCGGAAUCAUUGGGCGUAAAGCGCACGUAGGCGGCCUUGUAAGUCGGAUGUGAAAUCCCACGGCUCAACCGUGGACGUGCAUUCGAAACUGCUCGGCUCGAGUAUGGAAGAGGGUCGCGGAAUUCCCGGUGUAGAGGUGAAAUUCGUAGAUAUCGGGAGGAACACCAGUGGCGAAGGCGGCGACCUGGGCCAAUACUGACGCUGAGGUGCGAAAGCGUGGGGAGCAAACGGG